This is a long non-coding RNA of Astatotilapia calliptera (eastern happy), 2097 nucleotides long. NCBI's taxonomy places the organism in Eukaryota, Metazoa, Chordata, Actinopteri, Cichliformes, Cichlidae. The record is from Ensembl.
CUGCUAUCUGUCAAUAGCUGACAGAUUAUUCCAACCCGAGCUGCCUCCUCUCUCUCGAUCCUGUCCUGCCUGACACUUUCAGUUUUGCCUCGAAUGCGAUAAGAGUUGAAACGCUUUCGCGUCUUACCGUUUCGCAAAGUGGAAAAUAACCCAGCGGGAGUCGGUGCUUUCAGGUCAACGUGAGGUCCUUGUCGAGCAGGUAUGCCUGAGACGUGCUGCUAAACAGAGGCUUACCCUCAUCCAAAGGGAGCUGCCCAAUAGGAAAGAAGAAACGAGACAAUGCUGUCCAGCAGCUUGAAGUUCUGCAUGUGUCAGCAAGCUUUGGGCACGACGAAUUCUCAGUGUCCUUGUAGGUACACAGGUGAGCACAUUGUUCUUAUUCUCAGAAGGAUGGCGGUAUGGAGCCCGUUAGCACUGUAGCAAUGGAAUCAGCUGUAGGUGACUACAGAGGGAUGAGCUCAAAAUUCUCCCCUUCACAAUCAACAUAACACAGCGCAAGCACAAGCAGAAACCGUGGCGUUCUCAAGGCGCUCCUUUCUGGGGUAUUCUGGAAUCCCGGGGUUACCUGUACUCCGAACUCACCGCCGCUGGCUACACAUCAGUUAAAUGGAGCUCCAUCAGCUCUCACUUGUUUCCUCCCAGAAACCUGUGGGUUGAUUUCCCCAAAUAUUUUGGCUCAUUGUCCAUGUUUCCUGUGAAACUUUGCUGAUCAAACAAUAUUUUCUAUCCCUGCAUACAAUAACAUAAGAAAUAGUGAAAAGGUCUAAAGAUAGAGAAAUUUGUCUAUGUCAGGUAGUUCACUGUGUCAGCUUAUAGUCUACCUGAGCACCGUUUAACAAAACCACUGUGUUUAUAGCAACUAAUAACAUUACAGACAUAACUGACUACCAUUGUAACGAUAUAGACAGUAAUAGUGUCAACAUAUAUUUGCUAAUUUUGCAUUUUUGUGUAUAACUUUGAAGACACAGCUGAGACCAGCAUUCAAACUAAGGAGGAGUUCCCUGAUCUGAUCCAAUCCUUCCUUGUCUUAACACAUUCCUUUUAUCUUCCGUGUUUACUUCUAUUUGUUAUCCUCUCCUAUUUUUUCUUUUCUUUUUAGGGGGAAAUCAGUCAUUAAAGGGUUAUUUUUGUUUAUGUACUUUGUUAUUUAUGUCAUUUAGGUUGUGUCUGCAUUUUGGUUCUUCUCCAUAAAGAGCUAAAAUGUCACAAUGGGUGAACUAAUGAUCAAAACUAAAUGGCUUCAGACUGCUUAUAUCAUACUUACGACAUAUACUUGCAUGCGGUCCACCAAAAAAUACCAACCACCCAUAGCCCUGUGGUGAUGACACUAUGCCUGAGAAGCACACAGUGUAACUUCAUUACAAAGAAGGUCUUUGUCUAUUAUGACUCAGUGUUUUCUGUGUAGGAACAACACACAACCAUGCUAGUCCUUAAAUUUGGAAAAUUGUAAUAAAUGUGUUUCGGGCAUGAGGAUCACUGUGAUCUUCAAGUUGUAUUGUACGUAAUGACACAUGAUGGCGAUGCUAUUAAACAUAGCAUGAAAAACGUUUGCAUCAUCAUGAUCUGUAGGUUUUAGUCACCAGUACAGAGGAGGGUCUGAAUCGAAAUCCACACAUCCAUAUGCGCUAAAAAAAAAUGUGUGUAAUAUUGUUUCAUAAGUACAAUAUAAAAUGUUGCAUUUAAUGGAAUCUGGUUAUUUGAAAUUCACUUGACAGGUGCACAUUCAGUUUACACCAAGCACAUUUUCCUUAGUGAUCAAUUAUUUGAAAAAAUAAAUCUUUCAUUUCAUAUUUCAGUCGCCUUUUUUAAAAUAUUGCUUCAUGUUUACUGAGGGUCAGGGAUGUUUUUUUGUUUUGUUUUUUUUUGAGUGUGGCCUCAUGCUAGAAGUUUUAAUUCCAUGCUACAAGUCUGGUUAAUUACACGUUAAGGUUUCUUGACAAAACACCAUAAUUCACCACUGUUCCAUCGACACGCCUUUCAAUGAAAACUCAGAAACUCGCAAUUUAGCUUCCCCGAGGUCUUUAGACUAAACUGACCAAAUAUGGAGGAUGUCAUUAAGAUAGAAAGCCUGAAAAUGAUGAAAUCUGUAAAGUGGAA